This 490-nucleotide ribosomal RNA is filed under the name uncultured bacterium. RNAcentral describes it as "partial 16S ribosomal RNA". It matches the Rfam family "Bacterial small subunit ribosomal RNA", at positions 28 to 507 of the family's 1533-position model. The record is from RNAcentral.
GAUGAACGCUAGCUACAGGCUUAACACAUGCAAGUCGAGGGGCAGCAUGGUCUUAGCUUGCUAAGGCCGAUGGCGACCGGCGCACGGGUGAGUAACACGUAUCCAACCUGCCGUCCACUCUUGGACAGCCUUCUGAAAGGAAGAUUAAUACAAGAUGGCAUCAUGAGUUCACAUGUUCACAUGAUUAAAGGUAUUCCGGUAGACGAUGGGGAUGCGUUCCAUUAGAUAGUAGGCGGGGUAACGGCCCACCUAGUCUUCGAUGGAUAGGGGUUCUGAGAGGAAGGCCCCCCACAUUGGAACUGAGACACGGUCCACACUCCUACGGGAGGCAGCAGUGAGGAGUAUUGGUCAAUGGGCGAGAGCCUGAACCAGCCAAGUAGCGUGAAGGAGGACUGCCCUAUGGGUUGUAAACUUCUUUGAUAAAGGAGUAAAGUCGGGUAUGUAUACCCGUUUGCAUGUACUUUAUGAAUAAGGAUCGGCUAACUCCGUG